AGCGCACAAUUAUGAAGACCGAAUUUACAAAAUAUUUAACUAUAUUUUUUAAAAUUAUGAUCGUAAUUUUUUCAACGGUACGUCAAAACUGUUGAACUAAAUACUCCCGUUUGGUUAGCUGGUUUUACAAUUAAGGCUCUCAGUUCUCGAAGAAAAAGAAAGGCAAAAAGAAUAAGAAACGAAACACGAGAAGAAACCCCCGCCCCCAAAGAAAAAGGUCUUAGGCUCUUAGCUCACUCAAACGUCGUCGUUUCGAUUGCGACAACUCUUCGAAAACGGGGGUGCUGACUGCUGAGUGGGUAAUUGACUGAGAGCGGUAAUCGAAGCGAAGAGGCUGAAAAUGGCUACAAACCCAGCUCGGAGUUUAUGUACAUAAUGCUCAAUAUGGGUAACGCAUUCUCCCCAACGCCUCUAGUCUUUCCGGCGGUUCUAGUAGCUCUGCCUUCUUCCAAGUGUUGUUUCCGAUGACUACACCAAUCUAAUCCUCGAAAGACAAUCUAUCUAGAGCUGCCACCAACACCUCAGUUUGAUCAUCCACACAUUGCCCGAAGGUUCUGCCUGUGCAGCCUGGUGCUGCCACGAUCGUUCCAUCGAAUCGGUGACCGCGCUGAUCAAAAGAUCCGACACCGAUCAUUCUAGAGCUGUCGAGACUAAUCGCAUCAUAGUCGCAAUGUGCCCAAACACACAAAAUCAAAGUUCUGCCGCUCUAGUCAUGCACUGACGUGCCGCCGCUCCUGCUUCGCAUGUCAUCCAUGCGCCGACACGCUUUCUGCACACAUUGUGUGCCACAUGUCAUCCAAAUAGUGUGCCGCAUAAGCCCUAGCAUCACAUCAACGAUCGAUUAAGUGGCACGUCAAAAUCUGACAUGUAAUCAAUCCAUGUCACUUACCGCAUCAACACUCCUACCACGUCAUCAGUACACCAUGGUUGGUUGUUUGUUGACGUUUUUUGGACUGUUUUUGCAUUUGACAUCUAUAAAUGGCGCAAAACGAGCUUUCUCAUCCUCUUCAGGUUACAUUGGAUGGCACAAACUACAUUAUUCGAGCCCAAUCUAUGCGUAUUUUUCUCGAAAGUCGUAAUCUUUGGCUUUAUAUGACAGGAGAUCUCAAAAAGCCCACUAAAAGCCCUACUGAAUUAGAUGAAGCUUUUCGCACUCGCCUCAUUGAUUGGGAGAGCAAUCAUCAUCAAAUCCUUAUGUGGUUCCGUAACUCCACCAUUCCAUCUAUCUCGACGAUGUUUGGCAAUUUUGAUGAUUCUAAGUCUGCUUGGGAUAUGCUUGCUUCCCGCUACUCAUCUACUGAUGGUUAUGGAGAGUACUAACUUAUGCUUGAUCUCUAUCAUCUGAAGCAGGAACCAGGACAAACUAUCAAUGACUUCUUUACUCGCAUGCAAUUCUUAUGGGGUCAGCUUUCUCUUUCGGACCCAACUUGGAAGGAUCCUAAAGAUGCUCAGUUAUAUGCUGCUCGCAGAGAUCAAGAUCGACUUUAUCAAUUUUUUAUGGCCCUGAGUGAUGAUUUCGAGUCUAUCCGUGGGAAACUUCUACAUCACACUCCUCUUUCUUCCUUGGACAGGCCGUCUUUGAACUUGUUCAAGAGGAGACUCGACUGUAUAGACUACGCUCUCAGCAUAGUCAUACAAUAUUGGCUGUCUCACCCUCUGAUUCUUCAUCUUUUCAAAUAGAGCGAUCUGACAAGUCAGGUCCUCAUCACUCUCCUUUUAAAACUCGCGACAACAAUUAUUGUCUCUAUUGUAGACGCCCAGGACACUAUUGAAAAUCGUAGGUGCUGCCCCAAAUCUAAUGCGCUCACUACAACGGUUGCCAAUACUAAGAGUGCUCAAUCUUCAACUGCUACCUUUGACGAGGCCCCAGGAUUGAAUUUCACCCUAUCUAUAGCUGACUUAGAGGCAAUAGUCAAUCGGGUUUUAUCACUUUCUGGAUCCUCGGAUAAGCCAAACGCUCGGGAUCGGGCGUAGAGUUGGGCAAAUGUUCGAGUUUUCAUCCUUACAUCUUCCGACCUCUAGAGUUUCUACUGAUGCCUCUUCACCACCACCAUCCAUUGUGCUUUGCCACUUGAGUCUUGGUCAUGCAUAUGCGUCUUGGGUACAAUUAUUAGCUUCUAGAGAUUUAUUAGGUUCGGUGUCCACUAGUUCUAGCUCUUUUGAUUGUGUCUCUUGUCAUCUUGGAAAACAACUAGCAUUACCAUUUAAGAAUAAUGAGUCUGUUGCAUCUGCCCCUUUUGAUUUAGUUCAUUCUAAUGUUUGGGGACCUUCCCCUGUUUCUAGUAUGAGUGGCUCACAUUAUUUUGUAAUUUUUGUUGGUGAUUUUGCCAUUACACCUGGGUUUUCUUGAUAAAAUCGCUUUCUGAAUUAUUAGAUAUUUAUAGCAAUUCUGCCAAAAUGAUUGAGAUCCAGUUUUCAAAAUGCAUCAAAGUUUUUUCUUUUGAUAAUGCUUUAGAAUAUACUCCACACGCAUUUCCGGACAUACUCUAACAUUAAGACAUUGUUCCUCACUUGUCAUGUCCGGGUACCUCACAACUCCCCCAGUACAUGCUCUAAAUACCAUGCAUGCUCUCCUCCUUUCAUCCUCAACACCCCCGGUGGCCAUGGAUUCUUUUGUUAUUUUUAAUCAGUGGCGAUUUCCCUAUUUUGUACAUCCAAACUAGGGUAAUUUUGGUAGAAGAAAUGGAUGAUGCGUACGUGAUUGGCACAUGCGACUUUUCCCGUUCAAAGUAAUGACCAAAUUUAACUAUGGGGCAACUCAAAACAUUUUGGUAGUAUAUGAAUUCAAGUUGUAUCUUAGAGGAGUAAGUGCAAAUGGGAUGAUAGUUUGGGUGGAUAAAAGUGCAAUUUACCUUUCCUUUACUUUUAUUUUGUUAAAAUUUUAGCUUAAUUUUUUAUUUUCUUUAUGUAAUCAUUCUCAUAUCUUCUUGACCUUGCAUAUGAGAAAGAAUCUAACAUGGAAUACAUCAGACCUUCGUAACGAGCACACUAGUAGCUGCUUGCUACUGCAGAAGAAGGCACAUGAAUUGCAUGUGACCGUCCCUUCUACUUGAUGAUCAUGUGCAUGCCCAUAUGACUUUUUCUAGUGUGGCGAAGAACUAUAGGUUCCGAUAGUGUGGAGGAGAAAUGGCUCUGCACUGUUUGCUUUGUCUUUGGACGUGGGGUUUUGGUGGAGCUUGCGGCUGUUAACUUUGACUCAUAAGAAAGUUGCAAGCUUCCUGUGAACCAUGUUUUCUGGAGAAUUUGCUGGUGGCUUUGGUCUAUUAGCCAUUCCAAGUAUUGAGACGGUUCUUCUUCAACCCCAUCAUUGUUCUGCCUGCCUUUAUUGACUAGCAGAAGAUAGUAAUUGUUCUGACUGCUUUAUUGAGAUGGCCUAAGGCUGCCAUACUGGAGAUCCUUACUAUUUCUUUAAUGACCUCUUGACUGUGGAAAGCUCGCUUUGAUGCAGGAGAGAUGACUACUGUUAUCAUUGAACUAGAUAAUCAAACUCUGGCCGCAUAGCUCCAAAUCCCGUGUGCUUGAUAUGGUGCUGUACUGUUAAUUGAUGAGGCUAUGAUGCAGAGCAGGAGUACAAUAGCAUGUCCACUAGCCUGAUGACAGUGCCAAGGGUGGUCUUCUACUUGGAGCUAACGGAUGGAGCAGUGAAAUGAUGGCACGGUCAGGCGGGACUAUUGGAUUUGGGUAGAAAUCUUAAAGCAAUUGCAUUGAUGUCCACACACUUGGAGAACGAGUAAUUUGAGUACUUGAACAUCCAGGGACAGAGAAACUGGACAGAGACUUGGGGGCAAGUUGUGUGGCUAGUGUUUUAAUGGAUGUUUAAACCCUUCACAGAAGGACCUUAUUAUCAAUUUAGAUAUGCAAAGGAAAGUGACUGCAAAAUUAUGGGGAUUCAUAGGUUAAUUUUGGAGAAGAUUGGCAACUUAUCAUCUUCACAAUUCAAGAAAGGCAUAUACUUCUGUAGAUAUCUGAUGAAUAAUCUUAGCAGCUGAACAGGACUUGGGGGCAGAAUUGGCUGUUGGUAAUCGCAUCUUUUAUUUCAUCUAUAAGAAUGUGCUCUAUUGUCGAAGCACAUGCCUGGUUUGUUCACUUGUGCUUUCUAAAUACCAAAUUGCUGUAUUUGUUUGGUGAGUGCAACUUAUUUGUAUCUUGCCCAUUUGUUGCAAUUUACACAUUUAUCUUAAAACUUAACCAGAAUCUUGAACAUGCUCACCCAAUUUGUGUAGGGUAUGGGUUCUAUACUUAUAGACUAGUAUUUUUGUUUCCGUUUCUUACUGCAUUUCAUUGUUCUUGUGGUUUUGGAUGGGAGCCAUGGCGGUUGAUCCGACCAAUUCCUCAAGGCUUCAUCAAUUUGAGGGUGCCAUGUUCCAUGCACGCAGAGUUUCUUCUUGCACCCAAACUAUACACGCAUAUUUUCUGCAAACAUUGUACAGCCAAACAACCAGACAAAUAAUACAGUAAAGAAAAUGAAAGACUAAUCUCAUUGAUGGGCUCCGAGGAGAAAAGGUAUCCAAGGUAUUGGGUUUCUUGGAUUCCGUGUACAUGGGGAAUGUAAAAGAGCCACGAUGGUGCUAGUAGGACAGAAGGAUAUAUUUUGAAGGCAAAGAUUGUUUACAUAGGGAAGGAACCAUGGAAAGAGCUUGAGAAGCCAUCUAUUUAUUUUCCACAUAAGGUGACAUUUAUCUUGGAUGGUCUAAAAUUCAAUGCGUUUAGGCUGUAGAUACAGAGAUUGGCUUGUCUUGAUUUAAUUGCUAUUUGAUCUGAUGUGGUUUUGUAACCAGGAAUAUUGCAUGAAGAAGAUGAAGUCCGUAUUAAGCUUGCCUGGCAGGAAGACACGACUUCAGAAUCUUCUGCACAUGUAAUUCCAUCAACCGAUGGUAUUUCCAACUUGUAAACUCCAUGCUUAUUUGUAGUUCUGUUCACCGAUAAUGAUAUCUGUUCUAUGGUUUUCCGGGAGAUGGCUUUGAACAUGCAAUCUAUUCUAACUUCUGCAUCUGGUAAGACAGACAGCACCAUGAAAUAUAUGAACUUCAUAUCUUUACAAAUGAAUUACACAUAAUAUACCCAAUCAAACUUGAAAUUAGUUUUUUUCACCUGGUAUGAAGUAGCUGUGUCUGGAGAAGCUGUUAUUGGAGCAGAUGUCACAAUAAACAAAACCCAUCACAAUGAUCUGGGAGUUAUUUUUUGGUGGCUCAACUCCCGCAUAUAGGGAAUUUAUAAAUAAAGAUGAAACGACAAAGAGAAUCACCGGAUUCAUGGCUAACUUUGGAGAUAAAGAGUAUGGCUUAAACAUAUGCUUCUUUAUGAAUAGUUGUUUUGCUAGCUGUGAAUAGCCUUCAAAGCAUUAUCACAUGGUAGGAGAUGAAUUUGUUUGUGUGGAUAAUGAGCGGCAGUUGUUGGUGGAGAUCCAACUGUAAGCAAAAAGUGGAGGAAAUUUAUCCUUUUCACAAGAAACAAAGUCAUGUGAAUGUUCUUUGGCAAGAUAUGGACUUGAUGUGUAGGAGAGAGAAGACAGUAGAUACUUUAGUUAAACUGGGAGGUGGUGGUGCUUGAUUUGAAGGUCUCAGCUCCACAAGAAAAAAUGCAGGGUGUUUACACUGUCGCACUUAUUGUCUACUGCAGGAGGCUCUCUCUCCCCCAAGGCGCGUGGCAGUCCAAAUCAUUAGGUACUAAUUAAGCUUAUUUAUAUGAUGUCCAUCCAUGUUCAGUUUAAGUUUAGCUUUAGUGCAUCCAAUUUCCACUUGUUCAGUGACUUUUCUGCAUAAUUUGUGCAUCUGAAUGUGGGUUGUAUGGAUGGAUAAGGUUUUUACUUUUUCUGUUGGGGGUGGGGUGCCUGGGAGAAGGGAUGGGAUGGGAUGGAUAAGGUAUUGAAGGGAAAAGCUUUUGACAUGAUUGAGAUAAAAUGGGGUUCGUGUGAUUGAGAUAAAAUAUAAAAAUGGGGUUCAUGUGAUUGAGAUAAAAUGGGACAAUGGGUUUCAUGUAGUUCAUGUGAAUCUUAAAAGUUCAAGUGCUAGGGAAAUUGUAGGUGUUGAGCGUUAAAUACCAAGAAUAUACACCUACCUUAUGCUCUGUUUGGAAAUUGUAAGAUGGUUUGAAAGAGUUUUAUUCUAUACACUAAUCAUUUGAACUUGUAGCA
Long non-coding RNA from Alnus glutinosa, 6133 nucleotides. RefSeq lists it as uncharacterized. The record is from RefSeq and is a predicted model, not a curated record. NCBI's taxonomy places the organism in Eukaryota, Viridiplantae, Streptophyta, Magnoliopsida, Fagales, Betulaceae. The transcript is spliced from 5 exons.